This 73-nucleotide transfer RNA is filed under the name Camelus bactrianus (Bactrian camel). It matches the Rfam family "tRNA". From Rfam's summary of the family: Transfer RNA (tRNA) molecules are approximately 80 nucleotides in length. Their secondary structure includes four short double-helical elements and three loops (D, anti-codon, and T loops). Further hydrogen bonds mediate the characteristic L-shaped molecular structure. tRNAs have two regions of fundamental functional importance: the anti-codon, which is responsible for specific mRNA codon recognition, and the 3' end, to which the tRNAs corresponding amino acid is attached (by aminoacyl-tRNA synthetases). tRNAs cope with the degeneracy of the genetic code in two manners: having more than one tRNA (with a specific anti-codon) for a particular amino acid; and 'wobble' base-pairing, i.e. permitting non-standard base-pairing at the 3rd anti-codon position. The record is from Rfam by way of RNAcentral. Lineage: Eukaryota; Metazoa; Chordata; Mammalia; Artiodactyla; Camelidae. RNAcentral also lists the same sequence under 2 other names.
AAGGGUAUAGCUUAAGUGGUAGAGUGCAUGCUUAGCAUGCAGGAGGUUCUGGGUCCAAUCCCCAGUGCCUCCU